GGCAGAGACAGGGCCAAGGCCCCUCAAACACCUCAGAUGGGGGCUCAGUCGGGGCCCCUUCCACAGACACAGCUCUGGCCCCUCAAGGUGGAUGGUGAGGCCGCUGCUCCUCCAGCUGCCUCCAUCUCAUGGCAGGCCAGAAGUGGAAAGGGUUUCAAACCCAAGCCUGUGUUCCUGUGUGUGUUCUACGCAGCAAGGCUUAAAAGUUUCAAGCUGGUCUGGAACUCAACCAGGUCCUCCAAAGGAAACCAAGGCAGGCACAGGAUGGGCGCAGGCUGGCUUGGCAGGCAAAUAUGCCGAUCCACCCAGAGCGCCCUGGGAGGCAGUGGGGUUGGCUCUGGCUCCUGUGAACUGCAGCCAGGCCUCUCCCGGUACCCAGGGUCCGGAAGGAGGGCUUCUACACAUUUUAUCACCCAGGGACUGCGAAGGCCUGGAGCCCUACCUUCCACCCAUUAACAAAGAAAGGGAUAGUUUCAGAACUGCUUUUAUUUGGAUAACUGACUGAAGGAGUCUCAUUUGUAACCAAGAUGGAAUUCACAGUAUGUUGUUACAUUCACACUUAAAAAAUAUAUCUCUAUGUACAGGAAUUUGCAAAUAGAUGUAAACAUACAUUACUUUCCAAGUACAUUUCUCCCCUUCUCCUUGGAGGAAAAAAAAAAGCCAUCCAACGAGGCAACCCCUUCAAAAUAAUUUUAAUACAAAGGAUGCAAACAUCUGUAAAUCAAAAAUGUGGUUCUUCUGACCCUUCUGGGUGUCAUGGGAGAGAACGUCAUUGAAUGAAAAUGACAACAGCUUGACUUCAGAUGGAAUUUGACUAUUUAAAAUUGAGUUUCCAGGAAAAGUAGGCACUGAUUUCUAGAAGGAAAUUAACUCCUUACCGAAGCUAUUUAUUGAGCCAAUAUGGCUGGUUAACAUCUUCACUAGUAUAAAGUAACCCAGUGCAGGACUCUCAGACAUUAGCUGAACCAAGUGUACACAGUCAGACUGCAAGGGCGUUGAUGAGGCUACUCUGAAAGCUGGCUGUCCCCGUCCUCUAGAUGUGAGGACCACCCUGAUUUUAUCCCAGGGGCCUGGUCCCUUCUUCCCAUACUGCAACUGUCGCGCAUUAUACAAGGUACCCUGCUGCUUACCCACUUCAACUACUCUGCAAG
This is a non-coding RNA of Chlorocebus sabaeus (green monkey), 1151 nucleotides long. NCBI's taxonomy places the organism in Eukaryota, Metazoa, Chordata, Mammalia, Primates, Cercopithecidae. The record is from RefSeq and is a predicted model, not a curated record.